AUACAUAUAUAUUUUUAUAUAUAGUAUCAUUAUUUACUUUACUUUAAUAUUAUUGUUAUCAUUAUAUCCAACCCAAUAAUAAUUCUUUCAUAAAAGUAAUAUUCCGUAUUUGGUAAUUCGAGACAAUCGUGCCCUAACUUAUUGGGUUUCGAUUUUUCUCCUUUAACCUAAAUAACGGAAUACUCUUUUAAAUCGCGACAUGAAUUUUGAAAAAUGCUUAUUCUCAGAGAUACGAGGUGUUGUGCCCUAACUUACCGGGUAUGGCAUUUUGUUACCUCGAAAUAAGAUUUUUGCAAGUAAAGGCAAUAUUCGGUGUUCAGAAAUUCGAGGAAACGUGCCCUAACUUACUGGGUUUCGAUUUUCCUCAUUCACCUUAACUAACUGAAUAACCUUUUGAAAUACACGAAUUUUUAUAUAAAAGGCAAGCUCGCUCUCGAAAAUUCAAGAUGUCGUGUCCUAACUUACUGGAUGUGACAUUUUAUAUUGUGAGACGAGAAGGUCUUUAACAUUUGAGCAUUUUCUUUACAAAGAGGGAUCGUAUUUUAAAUUCUUUCAAGUUUUCAAAUUUUCGACACUAAGACACUAAUUAAUCAACUAGGUACCAAUUUUGGGCGUAUCGAGGGUGCUAAUCCUUCCUCGUGCGUAACCGACUCCCAAACUCAUUUUCUGAUUUUCGUAGACAAAAAAUUAUCGUUUUAGUAAAUCUUAACUUUUAUUAAAAUGAUUAAUUUAAGGUGAUCCGAUCACACCUCAUCAAAAAAGAUUAGUGGCGACUCCUCUAUUCGUUUUCAUUUCUAAAAAUCUAAGUCGAUUCCCAUUUUUUUUUUAAAAAAUGGUUACGACAACAAUAAUAAUUAAAAGUGUAAUUAUUCUGUUACUAGUAGUGGAGUGGAAAAAACUCCACAAGUAUAUCUAGAUUGAUGUCAUUUUAUGGAAUUUUUUUACUCCACUAACCUUGAGUGUAUAGGAUAAUUAUUCUAAUUAAAAAUGCAACAAAAGUUUCAUUUGUUUAUAUAUGGA
Molecule: long non-coding RNA, 1020 nt
Filed under: Gossypium barbadense (sea-island cotton)
Lineage: Eukaryota; Viridiplantae; Streptophyta; Magnoliopsida; Malvales; Malvaceae
Description: long non-coding RNA (GBAR_LNC011408)
Source: RNAcentral